RNAcentral lists this ribosomal RNA (407 nucleotides) under uncultured bacterium. RNAcentral describes it as "partial 16S ribosomal RNA". It matches the Rfam family "Bacterial small subunit ribosomal RNA", at positions 30 to 526 of the family's 1533-position model. The record is from RNAcentral.
AUUGAACGCUAGCGGGAUGCCUUACACAUGCAAGUCGAACGGAGUGGCGAACGGGUGCGUAAUGUAUCGGAACGUGCCCCGUAGCGGGGGAUAACUACGCGAACGCGUAGCUAUUACCGCUUACUUUUGGUGCGGCCGAUACCGGAUUAGGUAGUUGGUGGGGUAACGGCUCACCAAGGCGACGCACCGUAGCUGGUUUGAGAGGACGACCAGCCACACUGGGACUGAGACACGGCCCAGACUCCUACGGGAGGCAGCAGUGGGGAAUUUUGGACAAUGGGGGAAACCCUGAUGCAGCCAUCCCGCGUGUGCGAUGAAGGCCUUCGGGUUGUAAAGCACUUUUGGCAGGAAAGCGGUACCUGCAGAAUAAGCACCGGCUAACUACGUGCCAGCAGCCGCGGUAAUUC